This is a long non-coding RNA of Odocoileus virginianus texanus, 2569 nucleotides long. RefSeq lists it as uncharacterized. The record is from RefSeq and is a predicted model, not a curated record. NCBI's taxonomy places the organism in Eukaryota, Metazoa, Chordata, Mammalia, Artiodactyla, Cervidae.
CCUCUGCCACAUGUUCCGGCCCCCGACUCCAAGGCAUGGAAGUGUGAGGGACGAAAGGCCCUAGCUCCCAGGCUGAGCACCAGAGCAUGCGGGUCGCCCCCAGCCCACUCAUUGUGACCAGCCGGCUGCCUGCAGCUGCCCCAGUGUUCUGCCACUCCCUUUGAUGAGGUCACAAACCAGACAGAGGAGGGGGCCGCCAGCAGGGCUGUCUCCAAGGGCCCCAGGCGGAGCAGCAGCUGGCAGUAAGGGUGGGGAAGGGGCAUGGGGACAGAGUGAGACCACCAAGGCGCGGACAGAGUGGUGACCCAAGCCUGCCCACACCAGGCUCAGCCACGAGGGAGAGAAGUCCACCAGUGGUGCAUAUACCAGUGAGAACAUGCAAAGUCCUGAAGUGUCGACUGUGAGGAGGUGGCAGCUGGGGUGUACGCAGGACAACACGGCAAACUUCACAGGGGAAGCGAGGCACGCUGUCCCCCGAACGAUGCCAAAGUGGUACAUUACACAGGAGCAGCCCAACACCACCCAAGCUGGCAGGGACCUCACAGGAGACUCCCUUAUGGACAAAGGUGCAAAGCUUCUCCGUAAGAUGUGAGCAGGUAAAGCCUAAUGCUCCCAGAAGGGAGUAACACACUAGAUUCAACUGUUUCGGAAUUUAAAAUGGUUCCUGGUUAGAGUGUCUCCCAGACACAAGUCUGUGAAACUCUGAAGAAAAAGUGACUUGUUUUGAUGCCCUGUGCUUGGCCAUGCUCCAGGAGCCUCGGGAUGGAACCAGCUGUGCCCCCAAACUGGGCCUCUGACCUCCAGAACUGCCAGAGGAAACCCUGUGCUCUUCUAAGGUACCUGGUGAGGGGGGCUCUUGCUGCAAAAGCCCCAGGAAAUGCAUAUACCCCUGAGAGAGGACGCACAGGACAACUGGCGCUACUGCAGGACAAGGGUGGGUAGCUGGGCUGCUGGAGGACCAGGGGGCCAGGGGUGCAGGUUCCAUCACAGACCUACUGUCCGGCUUUUACCCUGGAACCUAUUUCUCAAGUGACACUUGAAAGGACGUGUGUAUCUGUGCUUCAGACCACCACAGACACACCCAGCCUGCAGAUUAUAGACAGAAUGGUAAAACCGAGUCGCACAGGCCACAGCAGUACGGGGUGCUGGUGACUGGUCAGAACACACAGCCACUUGCCCCUCUGCCCCAGAAGAGGUUCAAGAUGAAAGGACCAUCCAGAGGUCCAGAAGCCCCCAAGGGCAGGAUCCAGGGCCCUCCCUGCAGCUGACCCUAACCCACAGCGGGUCCACAGGCACUACCACAGACCCACCCCAGCUACUUGCGGCCCAUGUGAACAGAAAAGCCAGCGCGCUCCCCUCCCCUCGAAGUCUUGGCUGCCCAGCAGAGUGGACGGCCUAGAACACAAGCUGGGGGGCACUGACGGGGAAUGUCCAGCAACGGAUGGGGUGGGUCCUGCAAGUCUUGCGGGGGCCUCCAGCCCCAACCCCCCUCACUCCCUGACCUCCCUUCCUGAGGCUGAGAUGGCUCCCAGUAGCAGGGCUCAUCUAGGGGAAAUGUCCCUCCCCCUGGAGGGAGUAGGGUUCUAAUGGAUGGAGGUUCUAAUGGAACAGGCAGCAAGGUACCCCAGCAACACAGAAACCCACCAGAGUGCCUCAUGCCCUUCUCAUGCCAGAGUUCAGACCUCUGCAUGUCAUGAAGUGACAGGAAUCCCAUCACAAACAAGCCUGCACUUGGGAAGCAAGGAGAGGAAGGAGGUACCCAAAGGGCCAGGCCACAAGAGGGCGGCAGGUUGCCAAGGCCCCAGGGGGCCCACUGGGCGCCCUGAUGGGGAGAGGAGCUCCUGCCCUCUGAUGAGGGCCUGCACUAGCGUCAGGGGGCUUCUUGAGGGCAGUACCCCCUCCACUUCCUGCAGCCUCCAGGGUCCAACUCAGACUCUGCCAGGGAGUAAGCCCCUGGCCAGGCCCAGCCCCCAAGAUCUGGGCAUCCCAGAGCCCUGCCAAGGUGGGAUGUUUCAGUACCAGGGAGGCUCCCUCUCCACAUCCCAACAGGCUAAAUUGAAAAAAAAAAAAAAAAAAAAAAGAAACAGCUCUAGGAGAGGGGCAGAGGGUCUAGGUCAAGACCCUCCCCUCUAAGCCUCAGUGUCCCUGAGGUGACACAAGGCUGCAGGUCUAGGCACAUUAAGCACACAGCUGCCGGGGCUCAGCCACAGCCCCUGCGGCUCAGAAAUGAGUGUGUGGGGCCCAGAGUUCGACCCCCAUGCUCCUGCUGAAGCUUCUGGAGGCCUCUGGGGGAGGCAGGUAGAUGGAGAAGGCAUUUGCGAUGCUACCUAGCCCCCACCCCACCCUGCCUCAAGGUACCAGCCCUCAGGGGACCAGGAGGAACUGGAGAAACUUCCCAAGAAAACCUUCGCCAAGCAACAGGUGACCUUCAAAAGGUGGAGAGGUGCUGUGGCGCCACAGAAGCACCUUCCCGUUACUAGGGAAUUAAUCUGGCUGGAAGCCAACGGGCGCUCCUUUGGGGUUUGUACCAGGGAAGAAUGCCUUUGGUAAACAAGACUAAUUGGCUGUU